UAGAGUUUGAUCGUGGCUCAGGAUGAACGCUGGCGGCGUGCUUAACACAUGCAAGUCGAACGGAAAGGCCACAGCUUGCUGUGGUACUCGAGUGGCGAACGGGUGAGUAACACGUGGGUGAUCUGCCCUGUACUUCGGGAUAAGCUUGGGAAACUGGGUCUAAUACCGGAUAGGAAUCACAUGUGGGUGUGUGGUUGGAAAGCUUUUGCGGUAUGGGAUGAGCUCGCGGCCUAUCAGCUUGUUGGUGGGGUAAUGGCCUACCAAGGCGUCGACGGGUAGCCGGCCUGAGAGGGUGUACGGCCACAUUGGGACUGAGAUACGGCCCAGACUCCUACGGGAGGCAGCAGUGGGGAAUAUUGCACAAUGGGCGCAAGCCUGAUGCAGCGACGCCGCGUGGGGGAUGACGGCCUUCGGGUUGUAAACUCCUUUCGUCAGGGACGAAGCGAAAGUGACGGUACCUGGAUAAGAAGCACCGGCUAACUACGUGCCAGCAGCCGCGGUAAUACGUAGGGUGCGAGCGUUGUCCGGAAUUACUGGGCGUAAAGAGCUCGUAGGUGGUUUGUCGCGUCGUUUGUGUAAGUCCACGGCUUAACUGUGGGAUGGCAGGCGAUACGGGCAUAACUUGAGUGCUGUAGGGGAGACUGGAAUUCCUGGUGUAGCGGUGAAAUGCGCAGAUAUCAGGAGGAACACCGAUGGCGAAGGCAGGUCUCUGGGCAGUAACUGACGCUGAGGAGCGAAAGCAUGGGUAGCGAACAGGAUUAGAUACCCUGGUAGUCCAUGCCGUAAACGGUGGGCGCUAGGUGUGAGUCCCUUCCACGGGGUUCGUGCCGUAGCUAACGCAUUAAGCGCCCCGCCUGGGGAGUACGGCCGCAAGGCUAAAACUCAAAGGAAUUGACGGGGGCCCGCACAAGCGGCGGAGCAUGUGGAUUAAUUCGAUGCAACGCGAAGAACCUUACCUGGGCUUGACAUACACCAGAUCGGCGCAGAGAUGCGUUUUCCCUUGUGGUUGGUGUACAGGUGGUGCAUG
RNAcentral lists this ribosomal RNA (1027 nucleotides) under Corynebacterium sanguinis. RNAcentral's name for it is "bacterial SSU rRNA". It matches the Rfam family "Bacterial small subunit ribosomal RNA", at positions 1 to 1047 of the family's 1533-position model. Lineage: Bacteria; Bacillati; Actinomycetota; Actinomycetes; Mycobacteriales; Corynebacteriaceae. The record is from RNAcentral.